This 45-nucleotide non-coding RNA is filed under the name Schistosoma margrebowiei. The record is from RNAcentral. Lineage: Eukaryota; Metazoa; Platyhelminthes; Trematoda; Strigeidida; Schistosomatidae.
ACUCAUCUGACGAGUCCCAAAUAGGAUGAAACGCGCAUCCUGGAU